GGAGGCAGGACCGGCGCUGGCCGUGCUGUGCCGUGCCGUGCCGUGCCGUGCCAUGGCGGUGCCGGGGCGCCGGAGGGGGCGGCGCGGCCGUGCCGUGUGUGUAGCAGUGCGUGCCGUGUCGUCGUAGACCCAGUCGAUGUCUCAUGUAGCGCAGAGGUGCCCUGUAGCUCAGUGCCUAGGAGGUGACGUAGCGCCUCGAAUAAACGCAACGCGUGGAGUUUUACCCCGCCGGAGUCGUGUGCUCCCUGGGCUUCCCGAAUUGCUGCGGCCUGCUGGGGCAAUGCCCCCCGAAGGGCGCCCCAGGGCAGAGCACCGUGCUCUGCGGAGUGGCCCAGGCACGGCCGGAACGGCUCAGCGGAGCAAUGCAAGCGCCAGCGCCGGGUGCUCCGUUUGCAGAGGGAGGGCUGGGCAGGGGGUGCGCUGCCUGAUCGCAGCCUUGCUCCUGCCCGGCCUCUCCCGCAGGCAAGGAGAAAAGGCAGCCAGCGUGAUCCCUGGACGGGCAGCAAGGAUCGCGAGACGGGGAGCCAAAUUACUGCAGAGCGUGGCAUUAGCUAGAGCGCUGCUGGAGCCGGCUGCUUCGUCUGCCGUGAGCGUCACGCGGGAAAAGUUGGAAAUGGUUCAGACAAGAAAGUCUGAGGCCUGAAACACCUCCUGCAUGUUAAUGGAGCGAACCUCUCGAGGACCAGAAUCCUGCCCAAACGACGGGAAGAGAGAGGCUAGAGCGAUAGCCAAGGACAGGUCAGGAUGGAUGGAGAAAUCUUCAGUCAAAAGGCAAAAUAAAUCACGAUGGCCUUGAACGCGCUGGAAGACU
Molecule: long non-coding RNA, 811 nt
Filed under: Apteryx owenii (little spotted kiwi)
Lineage: Eukaryota; Metazoa; Chordata; Aves; Apterygiformes; Apterygidae
Description: lncRNA (ENSAOWG00000016047.1)
Source: RNAcentral